CUGCAUGGCUUUGCAUGGCGUAGUAUGUACUCUUCCCUUGAGAACUUCAUAUCUACAGGUUCCCUCCUAAGGAUGAUCCUUCCUGGUGGCUUCUGUUUACAACAAUGCCACGCCAAGCAGUUAACACUACUUCGUAAAGGAAGACUCCACUCCUUGACCUUCGCAUUCUUGACCCAUAAUGCAAUGUGCUUCCACAAUCUCUAUCAUUUCCAGACAUCACCCUUCCUGGGAAAUGCUGACAAGUACGGACUGUGCUAAAGGGUGGAGGCUGUCUUUCACCUCCUGCCACCAACAGCUUAUUUGAGGAGAGUUUAAGAAAGAAGAUUUUACCAGAAAAGUUCCAAUUUCAUGUGCCUCUUUAUAUGCUUUUUCUGCUUCUUAUGUAGUCUCCAAAUUUGAAUGACAGUCUUCCUAACUAGUAACCUUGGAGGAAUAUAGGAGACCAAGUGAGGAAGCUAUCAAAUAAUUUCUUAACAUCAACAUUAUUGAAACAUAGUAACUCAUUGUUUUACAUUGGAGGCUAAAUAGAAUGAUAUGUUUUAAAAUGGCUAUCUCCAUGGGCUUAUUUUUUUUUUCUCAUCUGAUAAGUGGAUUCAAUGAUUUCCAAGAUUUUGUUUUCAACUCUGUGAUUCUAUGGUCUCUGGAUACUGUAGUUCCAACCUUCAAGAGAAGAGCACAUCUAAUUAAAGUUCGAGACAGCGCCAAAAGAUUAGCAGCUACG
This 721-nucleotide long non-coding RNA is filed under the name Homo sapiens (human). RNAcentral describes it as "HSALNT0407219". The record is from RNAcentral. Lineage: Eukaryota; Metazoa; Chordata; Mammalia; Primates; Hominidae.